This is a long non-coding RNA of Coregonus clupeaformis (lake whitefish), 2355 nucleotides long. RefSeq lists it as uncharacterized. Lineage: Eukaryota; Metazoa; Chordata; Actinopteri; Salmoniformes; Salmonidae. The record is from RefSeq and is a predicted model, not a curated record. The transcript is spliced from 4 exons.
AAAAGAGAAGAGACAACCAACUUGCUAGUUACAGCAUCAGCACGCGCUCUGGAAAGACAGCGGAGAGUGGAAAGGCAGUUUGCCAGUUACAGCAGCGCGUCCCCUGAACGAUAACGCAGAAGUAGGUGAGAAGCCUGACGACGGAGACAGGGGUGAGAAGGUGAUGAAGCGUACUUCACGAGCAGUAACCGAAAAACAACUGGCAUUUGGAAAGUUUGAGAGAAAGCAUGUACACCAUCUUAAGAAGUAUGGAGAACUGACGGAAAACACACUGAAGAGAAAACAUGACCCUAAGACUCCCUCCACCAUCAAGCAGAGCACAUUACUGAAGACAGUGUCUCAAAAAUCCAUCGACAAAAGCUGUGGUGAAGUAUGUGGUCCAAGGGCUCCAACCAUGCGCUGUUGUAGAACAAGAACCGUUCAGAGAGUUUGUCCAGGAUCUGCAGCCUAACUCAAAGAUCUUAUCAAGGCCCACACUGCGCUCCAGGAUUGAUGAAGCCUCCAUGGAAAUGAAGAAGGUGACUGAGGCCAUGGGAGGAGUUGACCAAAUCGCCACCACCACCGACUGCUGGUCUGCAAGAAGACGGAGCUUCAUUGGUGUUACAGCCUACUGGAUAGACCCUGACAGUCUCAACAGAUGCACUGCAGCCCUGGCCUGUAAACGGUUGAGAGGAUCGCACACCUUUGAUGUGUUGGCAGGCGCCCUAAAUGACAUCCAUUCUGAGUUUGAAAUCCAGGGUAAGAUUGUGAGAACAACAACAGACAAUGGCUCUAACUUCUUGAAAGCUUUCCAACUUUUUGGAGAAAAUGAAAACAACAAGGCAGUGGAAGCAGUGGGUGGUGAAGCAGCUCAGCCAGGACAGGAAGAUGGUGAAGAGGAACAAGAGGAAAGUGAAGAAGUGGAGUUUGUUGAUGUGGCAACGAUCCUGAAUGAAGAUGAUGGUUUUGAGUACCAGCUGCCGAAGCAAUAGCGCUGUGCUUACCACAUACUCAACUUAGUAUCUACAGUCGAUGCCCUGAAAGUAACAUCCAGUGAGGCUUACAAAAAAGUGUCCUGUUUAACAUUUGGCAAGUGCCAAGCACUUCGGAACAAAUGCGGAAGAUCCACAUUUGCAACCGAAACGGUUGAAGAUGCUUGCGACCUCCAGCUGCUGCGCCCGAAUGCUACAAAGUGGAACUCCUGGUUCAUGGCUGUAGAAAGACUUCUGAGGAUCGUUAAAGACAAAGGAGAGGCGGCCGUCAGAGUUCUCUGCACACACUUCGAGGUUCCAAUAGUAUGCUGCCACCAUGAGCCCAGUCGCAAAGGCCAUCAACAUCCUGCAGGCUGAAACCAAUGUCCAGAUGGGGUGGCUACUUCCAACCUGCUGAUCACAAAACUUGACCGAAUCAAGUUGUCCCUGAAGUACUGUAAGCCUAUGGUGGAUGCGCUACAACUGGGACUGAAGAAGCGCUUCAGCCACGUUUCACGACCCUGAGCUGAUCGCAGCUGCAAUCCUUCUCCCCAAAUUCAAAACAACGUGGACAAACGAUGACGCCACCAUCAGAAUGGGAAUGGACUACAUCAAGGACCACCUGGAAGAACACUUGCUGCAGCUAGGUGAUGGCACCAGUUCAUCAGAUGAGGAGGACUUCUUCUCUGCCAUGAAGACGUCUCAAGCACAAGAAAGCUCCAAACAGCUGGACGGAUACCUGGCCUGUUCAACUGAUCAUAUGGAGUUGUUCAAGUCCUUCCCGGCAGUCUGUAAGCUGUCUCUGAGGCUAAACACACCCUUACCUGCAUCAGCUGCAUGUGAAAGGCUGUUCAGCAUUGCAGGACUUGUUUUCAGCCCCAGGAGAGCAAGGCUGUAUUCCAGAAACUUUGAAAACCAGCUUUUACUGAAGGUGAACCGUAAAUUCUUCAACUUCAAGUAAUGACAGCUUAACGCUAGCAAGCCCAAGGACACAGAUGCCUUAUGCUUUUUGUUAAUUGAUUCACAAGUUAUAGGUGUCCUUGUUACAAAGGCAUGACCUGACACACUGAUUUCUAAUACAGUUAUAUCAGUGGUGAUGACCUCAUAUUCCUACAGUGAGGUUGUGUGCAGUUCUGUACAUAUACUUUUGAUAAGCUCAUCAACAUUUUUUUUUUUAUGUAUAGGGUUCUAUUAUAGGAUGUGUUUUCUAAAGCAAAGUGGCUGUGAUUGUAAGUGCUUACAUUUACUGGCUAUAUUCCUUCAUGAUUAAGGCAUAAUUCUAUUCAGUCUGUAAGAGAUGUAUUUUGAAGUGUUGCCUAUUUGAGAAUCCACAUUCUUUUUUUUAUCUGAGCUCUUCUUGUAUCCGUAAGACUUUUACCUUUCAGAAAAGCUCAAACCAAAUAAA